CGAGCUUGCUCGGAUGAGUAAAGUGGCGCACGGGUGAGUAACGCGUGGGUAACCUGCCCCUUGAAUCUGGGAUAACUUCGCGAAAGCGUUGCUAAUACUGGAUAUCGUCCUGUUAACUGUGGUCUUCAGGAUGAAAGGUGACCUCUUCAAGAAAGUUGCCGUUCAGGGAGGGGCCCGCGUACCAUUAGCUUGUUGGUAGGGUAAUGGCCUACCAAGGCGACGAUGGUUAGCUGGUCUGAGAGGAUGAUCAGCCACACUGGAACUGACACACGGUCCAGACUCCUACGGGAGGCAGCAGUGAGGAAUUUUGCGCAAUGGGGGAAACCCUGACGCAGCAACGCCGCGUGAGUGAAGAAGGCUUUCGGGUCGUAAAGCUCUGUCAAGUGGGAAAAAAUUUCUGUUGUGAAUAGCAACAGAACCUGAUGGUACCACUGGAGGAAGCACCGGCUAACUCCGUGCCAGCAGCCGCGGUAAUACGGAGGGUGCAAGCGUUGUUCGGAAUUACUGGGCGUAAAGAGCGUGUAGGCGUCUGGUAAGUCAGAUGUGAAAGCCCUGGGCUCAACCCAGGAAGUGCAUUUGAUACUGCCAUUCUUGAGUAUGGGAGAGGAGAGUGGAAUUCCCAGUGUAGAGGUGAAAUUCGUAGAUAUUGGGAGGAACACCCGUGGCGAAGGCGACUCUCUGGACCAAUACUGACGCUGAGACGCGAAAGCGUGGGGAGCAAACAGGAUUAGAUACCCUGGUAGUCCACGCCGUAAACGAUGAGAACUAGGUGUAGCGGGUAUUGACCCCUGCUGUGCCGAAGUUAACGCAUUAAGUUCUCCGCCUGGGGAGUACGGCCGCAAGGCUAAAACUCAAAGGAAUUGACGGGGACCCGCACAAGCGGUGGAGCAUGUGGUUUAAUUCGACGCAACGCGAAGAACCUUACCUGGAUUUGACAUCCUCUGACAGUCCCGGAAACGGGAUUUUUUCGACUUGUCGAAACAGAGUGACAGGUGCUGCAUGGCUGUCGUCAGCUCGUGUCGUGAGAUGUUGGGUUAAGUCCCGCAACGAGCGCAACCCCUGUUUUUAGUUGCCAAUAUUAAGUUAGGCACUCUAAAAAUACUGCCUCGGUUAACGGGGAGGAAGGUGGGGAUGACGUCAAGUCCUCAUGGCCUUUAUAUCCAGGGCUACACACGUGCUACAAUGGGCUGUACAAAGGGUCGCUAUUCCGCGAGGAGGAGCUAAUCCCAAAAAGCAGUUCUCAGUUCGGAUUGGAGUCUGCAACUCGACUCCAUGAAGGUGGAAUCGCUAGUAAUCGUGGAUCAGCAUGCCACGGUGAAUACGUUCCCGGGUCUUGUACACACCGCCCGUCACACCACGAAAGUCGACUGUACCAGAAGUUGCUGGGCUAACCCCUUUGGGGAGGUAGGUACCUAAGGUAC
RNAcentral lists this ribosomal RNA (1421 nucleotides) under metagenome. Its description in RNAcentral is "bacterial SSU rRNA". It matches the Rfam family "Bacterial small subunit ribosomal RNA". The record is from RNAcentral.